GCCAGUUCUGGCCCCAUCGGUGAAUCAUCCGCACCUGCAGCACUGCUGGAGCCACUGCAAACCCGGGGUACUUGCUGGUUUGGGUUUAUUUCCACGUGUUGCUGAUUAAACCUACCCAGAAUGGAUGACCCCAUCAUUGCGUGAGCCAAGUUGCUGUUGCCACCAACCUAAAGACAUAUGGAGCCAUAAGGACAGGAACCAUUCUGUUUAUUUCUGUUUUAGACCUUCCACGUAUAUGGGCAGGGACUGCACGGUCACCACUGAAAAGGCAUCGAUAUAAUUGUAUUCUGCUGCAAGGAAAGGAUGCAGUGCUGGGACAAUUAACCUACCUUGGUUAGCC
RNAcentral lists this long non-coding RNA (340 nucleotides) under Suricata suricatta (meerkat). Its description in RNAcentral is "lncRNA (ENSSSUG00005000523.1)". The record is from RNAcentral. Lineage: Eukaryota; Metazoa; Chordata; Mammalia; Carnivora; Herpestidae.